GAUGAGCGCUAGCGGCAGGCCUAAUACAUGCAAGUCGAACGGAUAUAUGUUUUUCGGAAUAUAUAUUAGUGGCGCACGGGUGAGUAACACGUACAUAACUUGCCCUCAAGCAGGGGAUAGCCUUGGGAAACUGAGAGUAAUACCCCAUAGAAUUAUUGGACGGCAUCGUUUGAUAAUUAAAACUACGGUGCUUGGGGAUAGAUGUGCGUCUGAUUAGCUAGUUGGUGAGGUAACUGCUCACCAAGGCGACGAUCAGUAGGGGGCGUGAGAGCGUGGCCCCCCACACGGGUACUGAGACACGGACCCGACUCCUACGGGAGGCAGCAGUAAGGAAUAUUGGUCAAUGGAGGGAACUCUGAACCAGCCAUGCCGCGUGAAGGAUGACGGCCCUCUGGGUUGUAAACUUCUUUUGGAUGGGGCGAAAAAACGGGAUUUAUCCUGGACUGACGGUACCAUCAGAAUAAGCACCGGCUAACUCCGUGCCAGCAGCCGCGGUAAUGUAUCG
Molecule: ribosomal RNA, 505 nt
Filed under: uncultured bacterium
Lineage: Bacteria
Description: bacterial SSU rRNA
Rfam family: Bacterial small subunit ribosomal RNA
Source: RNAcentral